RNAcentral lists this ribosomal RNA (459 nucleotides) under uncultured bacterium. RNAcentral describes it as "partial 16S ribosomal RNA". It matches the Rfam family "Bacterial small subunit ribosomal RNA", at positions 338 to 795 of the family's 1533-position model. The record is from RNAcentral.
CCUACGGGAGGCAGCAGUGAGGAAUAUUGGUCAAUGGCCGGAAGGCUGAACCAGCCAAGUCGCGUGAGGGACGACUGCCCUAUGGGUUGUACACCUCUUUCAUAAGGGAAGAAUAAAUGCUACGUGUAGCAUGAUGCCUGUACCUUAUGAAUAAGCAUCGGCUAACUCCGUGCCAGCAGCCGCGGUAAUACGGAGGAUGCGAGCGUUAUCCGGAUUUAUUGGGUUUAAAGGGUGCGUAGGCGGUUUUUUAAGUGAGUGGUUAAACGUCGGGGCUUCACCUUGAUUUGCCAUUAAUACUGUAAGACUCGAGUUCAGACGAGGUAGGCGGAAUAAGUUAAGUAGCGGUGAAAUGCUUAGAUAUAACUUAGAACUCCGAUAGCGAAGGCAGCCUGCUGGACUGUAACUGACGCUGAUGCUCGAAAGUGUGGGUAUCAAACAGGAUUAGAUACCCGGGUAGUC